UAAAAGGAUUUUUUAAAAACCACACUAUUAACACAUCAAAAAUAAAU
Myotis lucifugus (little brown bat) is the source of this 47-nucleotide non-coding RNA. The record is from Rfam. Lineage: Eukaryota; Metazoa; Chordata; Mammalia; Chiroptera; Vespertilionidae.